Molecule: ribosomal RNA, 480 nt
Filed under: uncultured bacterium
Lineage: Bacteria
Description: bacterial SSU rRNA
Rfam family: Bacterial small subunit ribosomal RNA
Source: RNAcentral
GAUGAACGCUAGCGGCAGGCCUAAUACAUGCAAGUCAAGGGGCCAGUAAUGGCACCGGCGGACGGGUGCGUAACGCGUACACAACGUACCUUUGGGUGGGGGAUAGCAUCGGGAAACUGGUGGUAAUACCCCAUGGUAUUGGAAACUGGCAUCAGUUUUCAAUUAAAGACUACGCCCAAAGAUCGGUGUGCGUCUGAUUAGCUAGUUGGUAGGGUAACGGCCUACCAAGGCGACGAUCAGUAGGGGAUGUGAGAGCAUGAUCCCCCACACGGGUACUGAGACACGGACCCGACUCCUACGGGAGGCAGCAGUAAGGAAUAUUGGACAAUGGUCGGAAGACUGAUCCAGCCAUGCCGCGUGAAGGAUGAAUGCCCUAUGGGUUGUAAACUGCUUUUGUUUGGGAAGAAAUGUAUUCUUUUAAGAGUAUUUGACGGUACCAGACGAAUAAAGCACCGGCUAACUCCGUGCCAGCAGCCGCGG